GGGAGGUCAUGUGACGGUUCUCCUCGAAUUUCUUCUGGGCUUCGGUGGCGGACUCCCGGAGCAUAAUGGUGUCGCCGGCAAAAGUCUGUAUGCCCUGAUUGCUUCGAUCCCCAUUCUCCCUCAGCACCACGUUGUUAGCAAUUUUCUUGUAAUCAAAUCCCUAAUUCUUUUCAAAUCCCUAAUUCUUUUCCUGUAAUCAAAUCGUCAAAUUGGGUGAAAUAGGCGAAUACUUUUGGGGAAAACAAAAGAGGUAAGAUAAGAGGGAUUUUGGUGCAAACAUAAUGAAGAAAUUAAGAGAUAAUUUUUUCUUGAUUUUCUGUAAUAUUAUGAGAGAAUUGGUAGAGAGAGAAAGAGAGCG
Molecule: long non-coding RNA, 358 nt
Filed under: Erythranthe guttata (spotted monkey flower)
Lineage: Eukaryota; Viridiplantae; Streptophyta; Magnoliopsida; Lamiales; Phrymaceae
Description: long non-coding RNA (EGUT_LNC001796)
Source: RNAcentral